GAGUUUGAUCAUGGCUCAGAUUGAACGCUGGCGGCAUGCCUUACACAUGCAAGUCGAACGGCAGCACGGGAGCUUGCUCCUGGGUGGCGAGUGGCGAACGGGUGAGUAAUGCAUCGGAACGUAUCCUGGAGUGGGGGAUAACGUAGCGAAAGUUACGCUAAUACCGCAUAUUCUGUGAGCAGGAAAGCGGGGGACCGUUCGGGCCGUCGCGCUCUUGGAGCGGCCGAUGUCGGAUUAGCUAGUUGGUGAGGUAAAGGCUCACCAAGGCGACGAUCCGUAGCAGGUCUGAGAGGAUGAUCUGCCACACUGGAACUGAGACACGGUCCAGACUCCUACGGGAGGCAGCAGUGGGGAAUUUUGGACAAUGGGGGCAACCCUGAUCCAGCCAUGCCGCGUGAGUGAAGAAGGCC
This 410-nucleotide ribosomal RNA is filed under the name bacterium enrichment culture clone ALO1_GLFRUDD03F38PA. RNAcentral's name for it is "bacterial SSU rRNA". It matches the Rfam family "Bacterial small subunit ribosomal RNA", at positions 9 to 416 of the family's 1533-position model. The record is from RNAcentral.